GCUUGCCAAUAAUCAGGCAACCUGUUAUCUACCUCAGCCCUGCGACCUCUCCUUAGACCUAUAUAAACACACAGCCUUUUGUAAUAAAGCGGAAACCUCUUUGGUGAUCUGUGUCGUGUGGUGUGGCGUCUUCCAGUCUUCCAGUGGUGCCGAAACCCGGGAGGCAGUGUGCUCGACAAACCGAGCCCCGUCUCUGCCACCGCCAUCACCAAUGACACAUUUCGCCCUUGUCUGUCUUUUUGGGCGCGGACUCCCUGCACUCACACUGAUCGGGUCUAGGCUCUAUUGCAGAAAAGAGGAUAACACCCCAAACUGAGGUCUUGACAGCAGCCCUGAGGCCUACAUCUCCAGCAAAAGUUUCAGAGGGGAACCAGCAUUCCUCUCCACCAGAGGCUUGCCUCAAAUAUGGAUGCAAAGGUCACUGGGCUCGCCAAUGCCCAAACCCACAGCCUCCUUCCAGACCAUGCCCCACCUGUAAGCAGACAGGACAUUGGAAGAUUGACUGCCGCUGGCUGGCUCUUCCUUGGCACCUCUACGCAGCGGGUAUGACCAGUCAGGCAGUCCCCUCUCCUGAACUUUUGAGGUUUGCAGAAGACUGAAGAAGCACAGAUUCAAAGACCCCCUCAGCCCUCUCCGAGCCCAGGGUAAUGCUCCAGGCAGAUGGCGCUUCUACAUCCAAGCGACAUGGCAACAGGAUGGCACCAUCCGCUCUCAGUCUAUGGGCCAAGGCGAUUGGCCUUUCACUGGCUGUAAUCGGGCCCUUAAUGUUACUGAAUUCAACUGGGCCACCUCAUCCCACUUAUGUUCAGCAAUGCUAUGCUUCAAAGCAGAUCAAACUGAGGAAUUCUGUUGAAGCCAUAUCACCAGGAGGCCGCCCCACCUGCUGAUGACAAGACUACCCCAGAGGAGCCUCAAGGGUCACCUCCUAGACCUCCCCUUUACUCCUGCUCUCCACAUCCUAACUAUCCUCUAAAGCUUCUUCUGUCUCGUGUAACUGCCCAUACUCCACCAUGACUCCCACUCUUCUAAGUGGUAUUUUCACAGUCAUCACCAUUUUCCAGGGGAUAUCAUCGCCCUCCUCUUAAAGCAUUCCAAACAGCAGUUGUUAGACUCCAUACAGGAUCAAUAUGAGCCUAAUGUCAGGAGUCCACUACAGUAUUCAUGGCUAUGACUACUUACUAAAACUGUAACCUUCUUAAAUCUAACCCUCCCCGUCAUCACACCAACUGAUUGCUACUUAUGCGCCUCUCUGACUCAACCAUUACUUGCAGCGGUUCCCUUGAACUUCUAGGCUUCUGACCUCUCAAAUUUCUCCACUCCAUCUGCCGGCCGAACCCUUUCACCCAAUGCUCCAUUAUGGGAGCCCGAGGAGUCUAGCCAUACUGUGAGUUUAACCAUACUGCGCUGCCUCCUGGGCUUGGGUGUCUCCCAGUCAGUUUUGCCACUCUAACAUCACCUUUAACUUCACCCUCUAUGCACCACCUGGCUCAUUCUUCUGGUGUAAUGGUUCUCUCAUCAUUAUCUUAUUCACCAACACCUCUACGCCAUGUAUACUGGUGACACUUGUCCCACAAUUGACUCUCUAUACUCCAGCUGAAGUGCAGGCCCUCUUGUCUCCCCCCAGCGAGGAAUAAGCGGGCUGCUUUCCUUCCAAUACUGGUGGGUCUCUCACUGGCUGUAUCUGCAGUGGGAACCGGAAUAUCUGGUGGAGCUCUAGGACACUCCUUAUGGGCUGUACAGUUCUAAACUGUUCAAGUUCUAAACUUGAACAAGCACUCACUUCUACGGCAGAAUCUCUAGCAUCCUUACAAAGGCGGGUCACAUCCUUGGCUCAAGUUACUCUUCAAAAUCAACGAGCUAUAGACUUACUCACAGCCAAAAAAGGUGAAACCUUCUUUUCUUGAGGGAAGAAUGCUGUUACUACAUCAAUGAAUCAGGCCUUGUGGAAACUAAUGUAGUCAAGCUCACUGACUUGGCUACCUCUUUGAAAAAUCCACCAAACCAAAACCCAUUUGCCACCUUCUUUUUAGCCCCUUUUAGGGCCUAUAUGUCUUCUUUUCCUGAUGUGUCUGUUCCUGCCCUGUCUGCUUCAGUUCCUACAGGGCCAAUUACGGAAGAUCUCUAACUAAACUUUCAGCCAGCCUCUGCUUAGGUACUACUAGCCUCUGGUGACCGAUGAGCCCCCAACAUCUUCAAGAGAACAGCUCACUCAUUGCUGAAGCUCACUACCAGGAGCGAUGGAAUGCAACGGACAUCGGACAGUGGGAGACAACGAGCCCGGAGAACCCCUUAAUCUGCCAUCCUGGAUUUUUGA
This is a non-coding RNA of Ictidomys tridecemlineatus (thirteen-lined ground squirrel), 2314 nucleotides long. Lineage: Eukaryota; Metazoa; Chordata; Mammalia; Rodentia; Sciuridae. The record is from RefSeq and is a predicted model, not a curated record.